This is a small nucleolar RNA of Rhododendron vialii, 95 nucleotides long. RefSeq annotates it as small nucleolar RNA snoR114. The transcript has a single exon. The record is from RefSeq and is a predicted model, not a curated record. Lineage: Eukaryota; Viridiplantae; Streptophyta; Magnoliopsida; Ericales; Ericaceae.
GGGCUGUGAAGAUUACUGUGCCUACCUGUGGCGGUAGGGUCUGCCACAAUUCUCUGAUUUAAAAAUCGGAUUAACAACACGGCACUGCUGAGCUC